RNAcentral lists this ribosomal RNA (402 nucleotides) under uncultured bacterium. RNAcentral's name for it is "bacterial SSU rRNA". It matches the Rfam family "Bacterial small subunit ribosomal RNA", at positions 29 to 453 of the family's 1533-position model. The record is from RNAcentral.
AGCGAACGCUGGCGGCAGGCCUAAUACAUGCAAGUCGAACGGAUCCUUCGGGAUUAGUGGCGGACGGGUGAGUAACACGUGGGAACGUGCCCUUUGGUUCGGAACAACUCAGGGAAACUUGAGCUAAUACCGGAUAAGCCCUUCGGGGAAGGAUUUAUUCGCCAUUGGAGCGGCCCGCGUCUGAUUAGCUAGUUGGUGGGGUAAAGGGACCUACCAAGGCGACGAUCAGUAGCUGGUCUGAGAGGANGAUCAGCCACACUGGGACUGAGACACGGCCCAGACUCCUACGGGAGGCAGCAGUAGGGAAGUCUUGCGCAAUGGGCGGAAAGCCUGACGCAGCCAUGCCGCGUGAAUGAUGAAGGUCUUAGGAUUGUAAAAUUCUUUCUAGCGGGGACGGAUAAU